This 468-nucleotide ribosomal RNA is filed under the name uncultured bacterium. Its description in RNAcentral is "partial 16S ribosomal RNA". It matches the Rfam family "Bacterial small subunit ribosomal RNA", at positions 28 to 507 of the family's 1533-position model. The record is from RNAcentral.
GACGAACGCUGGCGGCGUGCUCAACACAUGCAAGUCGAACGGAAAGGCCCUGCUUUUGUGGGGUGCUCGAGUGGCGAACGGGUGAGUAACACGCGAGUAACCUGCCCUUGACUUUGGGAUAACUUCAGGAAACUGGGGCUAAUACCGGAUAGGAGCUCCUGCUGCAUGGUGGGGGUUGGAAAGUUUCGGCGGUUGGGGAUGGACUCGCGCCUUAUCAGCUUGUUGGUGGGGUAGUGGCUUACCAAGGCUUUGACGGGUAGCCGGCCUGAGUGGGUGACCGGCCACAUUGGGAAUGAGAUACGGCCCAGACUCCUACGGGAGGCAGCAGUGGGGAAUAUUGCACAAUGGGCGGAAGCCUGAUGCAGCAACGCCGCGUGCGGGAUGACGGCCUUCGGGUUGUAAACCGCUUUCGCCUGUGACGAAGCGUGAGUGACGGUAAUGGGUAAAGAAGCACCGGCUAGCUACGUG